This 497-nucleotide ribosomal RNA is filed under the name uncultured bacterium. RNAcentral's name for it is "partial 16S ribosomal RNA". It matches the Rfam family "Bacterial small subunit ribosomal RNA", at positions 28 to 507 of the family's 1533-position model. The record is from RNAcentral.
GAUGAACGCUGGCGGCGUGCCUAAUACAUGCAAGUCGAGCGAACGGACGAGAAGCUUGCUUCUCUGAUGUUAGCGGCGGACGGGUGAGUAACACGUGGAUAACCUACCUAUAAGACUGGCAUAACUUCGGGAAACCGGAGCUAAUACCGGAUAAUAUUUUGAACCGCAUGGUUCAAAAGUGAAAGACGGUCUUGCUGUCACUUAUAGAUGGAUCCGCGCUGCAUUAGCUAGUUGGUAAGGUAACGUCUUACCAAGGCAACGAUGCAUAGCCGACCUGAGAGGGGGAUCGGCCAACCUGGAACUGAGACAAGGUCCAGACUCCUACGGGAGGCAGCAGUAGGGAAUCUUCCGCAAUGGGCGGAAGCCUGACGGAGCAACGCCGCGUGAGUGAUGAAGGCCUUCGGAUCGUAAAACUCUGUUAUUAGGGAAGAACAUAUGUGUAAGUAACUGUGCACAUCUUGACGGUACCUAAUCAGAAAGCCACGGCUAACUACGUG